UACGUAGGGGGCUAGCGUUGUCCGGAUUUAUUGGGCGUAAAGAGCGUGUAGGCGGCCAAGCAGGUCCGUUGUGAAAACUGGAGGCUUAACCUCCAGACGUCGACGGAAACCGCGUGGCUAGAGUCCGGAAGAGGAGAGUGGAAUUCCUGGUGUAGCGGUGAAAUGCGCAGAUAUCAGGAAGAACACCCGUGGCGAAGGCGGCUCUCUGGGACGGUACUGACGCUGAGACGCGAAAGCGUGGGGAGCGAACAGG
This 253-nucleotide ribosomal RNA is filed under the name uncultured bacterium. Its description in RNAcentral is "partial 16S ribosomal RNA". It matches the Rfam family "Bacterial small subunit ribosomal RNA", at positions 524 to 776 of the family's 1533-position model. The record is from RNAcentral.